GACGAACGCUGGCGGCGUGCUUAACACAUGCAAGUCGAACGGAAAGGCCCUGCUUUUGUGGGGUGCUCGAGUGGCGAACGGGUGAGUAACACGUGAGUAACCUGCCCUUGCCUUUGGGAUAACUUCAGGAAACUGGGGCUAAUACCGGAUAGGAGCUCCUGCUGCAUGGUGGGGGUUGGAAAGUUUCGGCGGUUGGGGAUGGACUCGCGGCUUAUCAGCUUGGUGGUUGGGUAGUGGCUUACCAAGGCCUUGACGGGUGGCCGGCCUGGGAGGGUGACCGGCCACAUUAGGACUGGGAUACGGCCCAGACUCCUACGGGAGGCAGCAGUGGGGAAUAUUGCACAAUGGGCGGAAGCCUGAUGCAGCAACGCCGCGUGCGGGAUGACGGCCUGCGGGUUGUAAACCGCUGUCGCCUGUGACGAAGCGUGAGUGACGGUAAUGGGUAAAGAAGCACCGGCUAACUACGUG
Molecule: ribosomal RNA, 468 nt
Filed under: uncultured bacterium
Lineage: Bacteria
Description: partial 16S ribosomal RNA
Rfam family: Bacterial small subunit ribosomal RNA
Source: RNAcentral